This 497-nucleotide ribosomal RNA is filed under the name uncultured bacterium. RNAcentral describes it as "partial 16S ribosomal RNA". It matches the Rfam family "Bacterial small subunit ribosomal RNA", at positions 28 to 507 of the family's 1533-position model. The record is from RNAcentral.
GAUGAACGCUGGCGGCGUGCCUAAUACAUGCAAGUCGAGCGAACAGACGAGGAGCUUGCUCCUCUGACGUUAGCGGCGGACGGGUGAGUAACACGUGGAUAACCUACCUAUAAGACUGGGAUAACUUCGGGAAACCGGAGCUAAUACCGGAUAAUAUAUUGAACCGCAUGGUUCAAUAGUGAAAGACGGUUUUGCUGUCACUUAUAGAUGGAUCCGCGCCGCAUUAGCUAGUUGGUAAGGUAACGGCUUACCAAGGCAACGAUGCGUAGCCGACCUGAGAGGAUGAUCGGCCACACUGGAACGGAGACACGGUCCAGACUCCUACGGGAGGCAGCAGUAGGGAAUCUUCCGCAAUGGGCGAAAGCCUGACGGAGCAACGCCGCGUGAGUGAUGAAGGUCUUCGGAUCGUAAAACUCUGUUAUUAGGGAAGAACAAAUGUGUAAGUAACUAUGCACGUCUUGACGGUACCUAAUCAGAAAGCCACGGCUAACUACGUG